GCAGUGAUCCUUCUGAGUGACAUCAGGCCUUGGGCUGAGCAUGGUGUCAACCUUCGCGACGUGUGUAGUCGCGUGUUCUUUUCCUUCCGCUGUGAGCUUGGACAAGCUGUUCAGCUUGUUAGUUUAAACACUGUUUGUAUAAGUUUUAUUUUAAGUUUGAACCAGAUUUGUAAUAAUACUUGUAUAUUUGUAAAUUAAGUUGAUGAGCUGUACUGUGAUUGUAAACUCACCUUCGGGUGAGGUAAACCUGCUUCGAUCCUGUUGAACCGUGGUUGUAUCGGGCGGAGAUCCGACAGACCAAUGGGUUGUUCCAUUUGAAGUGCAAUGAGUUAUUACCGGCUGUAUAGCGAUGACUAGCGCAUUUGAAUCGGAAUAAUUC
Molecule: long non-coding RNA, 379 nt
Filed under: Panicum hallii
Lineage: Eukaryota; Viridiplantae; Streptophyta; Magnoliopsida; Poales; Poaceae
Description: long non-coding RNA (PHAL_LNC000795)
Source: RNAcentral